CUCUCUUAUGUUUUAUAAAUCAAUUCUCUUAAAUGUGAAGGAAUGUUACAUCAUAUAGUGAGAUUGUUUUCGACUUUCAAAUUUCACACGACUAAUUUGCUCGUUGGGUUAAUUAGAGCAAGUGUCCCACAAUCGCUUGUCACGCAUUUGAAAGGUUGCAAUUGUGACAAGUGGUAUCAAAGCUUUGUUGGCUCCAUGGCUAAAUAAGACAUAACCAUGUUGGCAUUGAAAUAGCCGUCAAAGUUGCAGUUUGAGUGCCUAACCAAGAUCGAAGACCAAUUCUUGAAUAUAAGAGAAUUGCUAGACAAACUGUGAUUUCUUCAAACUCGGUUGGAUGGGUUGGAUGAAAAGUUUGAAGGAUUAGACACACUAAAUGCCCAAAUAGAUGAACUGCCAAUAAAUGAAUUAACGUUGAGGGUUGAUUCGCUAGAACAUAAAGUUGCUCAAGAGGGUAGUUUUGAGCGGGGAGGUGACUCUAUGAGCUCUGUCGCACAUAUAGAAGAGUGUGUGGAAGAACUUGAUUGUUCCCAGAAGACAAUGUUAAAGUUUCAAAUGACUUUUAAGUGACUAUAAAGACAAUUAAGGUUGAGAUGGUCGAGAUGAAGAUACAAGUGAAUUUAACAACGCAAGCACCGAUCUUGAAACCUAAAGCCUUCAAUGAGAAUCAUGGUUGACACACAAACUUGGUUGGUGUUUUUUUGGGACUUAGUUGUUUUGCCUUUGUAUAAUGUGAUUGCAAUACGUCACGAAGUAGGUUCAUCGCGCAUAAGAUGUUCACCUUAUUUUUUUGUAUUGUGUGAUUAAUUCUAUGCGAUAAGUCAUGGGUCAUGAUCAUGCUCACUAUGUACAUGUUCAUCGCGUAAUAUCUAAGUCCUCGUUGAGUAAAAGUUUUUCUACUGUUCACCCAAGUGCAAGCAAACAACAGGUUUACCUAGAUGAUCCAAGGUCGAACACAAGGAAUUGGUUCAAAACAUUAGUUCUAGACUCUACUUAUCAUUUAGGCGUUAUGACGAUGAAGUUAAAAGAAUAAUAAAAUAACUAAAAUUACUUACUUAUACCUAGAGACUCAUGCACAGGAGAAUAAAUUAUGGCAAGAUGGAAGAUUGAACGAACUAACUUGCGUAAGGAAGGCGACGAAGGAAGGUCUCAUGUUAUCAUGCGAUUAAACUAUAUGACCACCUCAAUGUGAUAUAACUCACCUAGUUAUCUUAUGAUUAAGGCAUGCACCUCUCAGAGUCAUUAAACGCCACACUUGGUCUCAUUUUGGGAUCCAAAUGACUAAGGCUAGCUAAAUGGUUUAUAUCUAGUACUACUUAUUUAUUUUACUUAGAGUGCUUUGCAUUUAAGGACAACAACUUCUUAGUAUCUUAGUUCACACUUGUUCACCUUUCGAGAUACAAAUGGAGGAAGUCAUCUCGCAAGGUUGAGAAAACUCUUCCUUCUGUGUAUUAGCCAUGUCCUUGCUACUCACCCUCUCGGGUAGUUGACGACAUACAUUGGCCAAGUGUAGAAUGUAGCUCAGCUAAUACACUAAGCGGUAUAAAUAAAUAUUACUUAUUGAGAACAAAUCAUAAACCUAAACUACGAAUAACACAAAGACAAAUGAAGAGUAGAGGCAUGGAUGGAUUGAAAAGUAUGAAAAGAUACAUUGUAUUAAAGAAUGAAGGUCUUCGGCCAAUGUACAAUAUAACUAAAUACAAUGUAAAGAAAUAGUAAAAAUGAAAAGAGGAAGAAAAUGAAAUACAAGUUAAGGGGAACGGGAGAUGGACUCAUCUCCUCUCAAACUCUAAGCUUUCAUGUUACAAGCUGGUUGGAGAAGAAGAAUGAAUGUUGUACAAACGGUGGUGAGGCUAAUCCUAACCACCAAUUCUCUAGGUUUUCUUGUCUAUUCGAACCUCAAAUGGCCCAUGUAGGCCUCUUCUUGUCUUUGUGGGGAUGAAAUGCUUUUAUAGGCAGAUUUUAGACGAAAAACUUCUAUUCCUUCGAGAUUGUCAGUGCUGACUUUGGUCCUGUGAGGUCACAUCACUCCAACUACUAUUCUUGUCCUUUAGUCAGUCUUCCUCAAAUGAUGAUGUGGUUCCUCGUCUAGAAAUGUUAAUCGCUCGAUGAGCUCUUAUCGCGUAACCCUUGGCAAGAUGUCUCUUGCGAUUCACUAGUUUCUUUCUUUGUUCAUUAUUCUGCGUUUAGACAUGUCAAUCUCAUAAAACAGGCAUGAUACUUAUGUAAGAUGUAUUUCUAAAUACUUAUGUAUUUACAACGUAAGUUAUGCAUUCUCGUUAUACGUUUUAACCUUAUUAUUCUAAUAAAAGAUGUUAUAAUAAACAGGUAUUUAUACAUGUUAUCAGAAUUGUGAUGCUAAAGAGCUUGAAAUUUCAUUUUUGAUAUGGAACAAUACUUUAAGACAAGUGGAACCAUCUUUAGAGAAACUAAGGUGACAUUACCCUCCCAUGCAUUUGUCUGAUGAUGCAAAACUCUGGUGGAGGCCGAAAGUGAACGACAUCUAGAAUGGUCAUUGCACCAUUGAUACUGGGGAAGACCAUAAGAAAGAACUAAGUGCUCAAUUCUUUCAUGAGAAUGUUGAAUUUAUUGCAAUAAGGAAACUGCCUAAAGUUAGACACACAAGAACCAUCAAGGACUACGUUAAACAGUUUUUCGUUGUUAUGUUGGACAUUUAAGACAUGUCCAAAAAGGAUAAAGUAUUCUUCUUUAUAAAAGGGCUCAAGUUGUGGCCUAGGAUUAAAUUAUACGAAAAAAAAGUUCAAGAUCUUGCAUUUGCUCUUGUUGUCUCAAAGAUAUUGUUAGAUUAUAGUAGCAACCAAAGAUCUCAAAAGAAAAUUGCUCUAACACUGAAUUUUAGGGCAAGGCCUCCAAGCCUAAUCCUCCAGAACUUCAGAAACAACAAGAAACCGCAAAUCGCAAAUAUUGGUACUCCUCAAAGAUCAUAUCAAUCAAGUUUGAUUAAGACAAAGCCCAUUUUCAGUUUUUUAUUCAAUGGCCCCCAUUGAGUACCCAGGUGGUCAUAUCGAGCUUUGUUGACAGUGCUACAAGCCUUGGUGCAAUAUUCUAAUGGUUCAAAGGCAUAAAUGGAAGUUAACAAAGAGGACGAUGAGGAGACUCCUUGAAUUGGUGCAUUAAAUUAUUGUAAGCAAUUAGAAGAAAGUUUCUUACCAAAAUGAUGCUUUAGAGAGGGGACUUAUGCUUGUCAAUGCAUUCAUCAACUCUAAAUUGUGGUAGAUUUAGGUGCAACUCAUAAUUUCAUUUUGGAACACAAAGCUCGUUGAUUGAAGUUGAAAAUUGAGAGAGGUACUAACAAGAUGAAAGUUGUUAACUUCGAAGCAUUACUAAUUGUCGAGUUACUGAAGAUGAUAUCUCUAAAAUUAGGCCAAUGGAUAGGAGAUGUUGAUUUUUUCAUGGUUCGUAUAGAUGACUUCGAUGUCGUACUUGGAAUGGAGUUCCUUUUGAAACACAGAGUGUCACACCCUAAACCACAAUUCGACUAAAACAUCGAAGUAAUAGGAAUAGAAUGCGAUUUAGUUACAACCUUGAAAUUUUCUUAUCGACUAAUUCAACCUCAAUUCCUUUUAAACUACCAAGAGAAAACAUAAUGCAACAGAAGUCGUACCGAACGCCAAACACAUUCAAAGACAUUCUUGAAGCAAAAAACUUAACGAUAUCAAUUCAACAAAAACUUACACUUUAUUAAUAACAGGUGUUUAGAUGAACAUAACUUACAACACUUUGACCUAAAGUUACAUUAAAUAAACUCUUAAAUGCCUAGUAGUUUUCUUCUCUUGCCACAAAUCUUUCAAUCUUCUUCUCUACUUGGCCUAAACACCUGAUCCUGGAAGAUAAAUUUUGAAAACGUCAGUCGAAAGACUCAGUGAGGUUUUAUGAAAACCUUUCGCAAUAUCUUUUCAUAAUCUUUUCGCAAAAAUAAUAUCAAGUCAUUUAAACACACCAACGAAUAAUUUCAUUUUUCACAUAAACCUUUCUUUAUGCUUAACAAAUCAUCUCACAACCAUUUCAUUUUGCCAAGGAUCCUGAAUCACACUCUACUCUAGGUCAUGUAACUUCACGUUUAAACUAUUGAAUUAUCAACAUCCGAGAGUAUCGUGGUUCAUCCUUGUUGUUCAGACUACUAAGCAUUAUACGCUCAUUUCAACGCAUAAGUCAACUUCAUCACCACGUAGUUCCGUACACUCAUGGUGGCCUUUAACUCUUUAUGUGCACAUAAAAGUUAGCUUAUUCAAAAGAAGUAACUAAUGGUUUGAAAACUAUAUCAUAAACAUUAAGAUCAAAUCAUGCUUUGAACAUCAUAACACUUUUUCAUAUAAAUCUCUUUUAGAAAUCAUUUUGAAUUGAAAUCAUUAACUCAAAUCAAUAGAGAUUUAUAAGAAAAUAUUUGGCAUAAAAUAUUAAGGAAAACACUCACAAAACUUUGAAAGAAAAGUACUCACUUUUCAACUUUCCUCUUCUCGCCAAGUUUUCUCGUGGAGACCGCGUGGAAACACUUUAGCAUUUCAACAAAACUCCCAUCAUCCCUACUUAGUUAACCAAGUCCUCCAUUUAUAAUACUCUUUUAAUAUGGAUUAGUCACCCUUGGUUCUUUAUCCGAUUGCUAGUUUCUACUUCAACCUUGUAAAAUUUCUAUUUAUUUUAGUCAUGCUUAAAACCUUAAUCUUACACGUUAACCCUUUAUCAAAUCAGAUUUGACAUCUUCUAGCCAAACCUCUCUUCUCGCCUAAUACCAUUCCACGAAUAACUUCAACCAUUUAACAACAUACCAAGGUUUUAUCAUAUAACUUCUUUUGCGAACUACCAACUUUUUUUGCGAAGACUUUUUCUUUUGUGAGCGUUUAAACUUAGAGGUCUUACCACAAAUCCUUCUCGCGGACUUCCUUACCUUAAGCUCUUGACACGUACUCAAACUAAAAUGUCUUCUUGUCCAAAACGCUAAGUUACAUACUUAGUCAAAAAAUUUCCUUUUAACUUUUAAUUUAUGUUCAGGUCUUAAAAAAUUCGCUACAAAGGGAAUUCUUUGUUUUCUAGGUUUUCCACCUUAACAUUUGACAAUAGGAGGUAAUAUUUUCAUGACAUCAUCUUCAACUCUCUAAUCUAAACGAAUUCAACAAAUCGAACACAACCACUAUAUGUUGCUGAUAUUGGUUCUUUAUAACAAAACUUAGUUGCGUAAGAAUAAAUAUCUAAAUUAAGCAUUUAGAACAACAAGAGUACGUGCACAUGAAGUUUCCUCAAAGUCCUAUACUCGACAACUACAAGAUCCUAGGUCUAGCUUCACUGAGAAGUCUUCAUUUCUAUCCAUUGCCUUGUAUUUAGUGUUACUAAUGCGAUCAACCAAAUAGAUAAGAUAAGUUAGAGAGAAGUAAUAAGUACGUGCAAUUUAUUUGUUCCUAUUUGUGAUACACACCCAUGAACCAUAAAAAUAAGAAGAAAAAAACAAAAUUCUUACUAAGAAACUUAUUGACCUUUUGUGUUCUUUUUCGUAAUAUGCAUAUAUCUUUGUCUAUCUGUGAUUUUGUAAUAGAAAGAGAUAAAACUCACAAAUAGCUAGAUAGACAAAGAUAAGUAUCUCUAUCCACAUUUCAUUAUAGAAUUAGAUGAAGAAAAAGGGAUAAACCAAAAUGUACACCGAUUUUUAUCUAUUUAUGUCCACAAUUCAUUGAAAAAGAAGACUACAAAGAUUGAUGCAUAAUGUUUUCGCUCAUUUUUCCCUUAUAUAUUGAGUUUUUGCCUAUUUUUUCUUUCUUUUUUUUCUUUUUAUGCUCAUGCCUCACAUUUUCUAGCAAGCUUGGCUUUGUUUUGCCACUAUUAUCUUUCUUUGGUUUUAUUUCUUUUGCUAUUGCUAGGCUUCCAUUUUUUUUCGGCUUGGCUUUUCUCUAUUCUAGUAUUGACCUAAAAACAAGAUGGGACAAUCGACCUUUCGAGGUGACAACAAAAAUAUAAGUAUAAGAUUACCUUUUCUAAAAAUCGAAAACUCAAAAUGACUUGAUGAAAGUAUUAAGAAAUGCAUGAGAUAUCAAAAGAUUUUUUUAAAAGAAAAAAGUGGUCAGGAUCAUGAGUUCUCUCUUCCUACUUGAGAUAAUGCAAGUUUAAACAAGAAAAGUGUAUCACCAACCAUCAUCAUAGUAAAGAACCAACUAACAAGAGAGAACAUUCAUGCAAUCAAUGAUUCAUAAAUUCAUAUUUUUCAAUCAUGCAUUCAAUCAUUGUAAAAUCACCAAUCCAAGCUCACGUACUUAAUGACUAUCCAAAAAUGCACGAAUUCAUCCUAAAAGUACAACUUAAUAUGACAUAUCUAAAGCAAGUUUUUUUAAAAAGAAAUUGGCAAAAAUGCAAACAAACUAAACCCUAACACCUCCAACUUUCAAAGCAUGUUUUGUCCAAAAAAGCAUCAGAUUUAAUAUCAAAGUAGAAGAACAAACAAAAGGGAACAUAAUACUUCCCUAGCUUAGGAGGUGUGUGCUUAGGUUGAGCUUGACUUGACAUCCAACAGCUUUAUUUCUUCCAGUGAAUCAAAUGAUUCAAAAUUUCUCUCAAUUAUUUUCAAACUAAAAUUUGAAAAGAAAAAGAAAAUCCAAAACUAAGAUAGCAUUUAAUAAAUAUAAUUUCAACUCAAUAAUAUAAAAUAUGAGCAAAUAAGCAAUAUAGAACUUAAAACCAAGAUUAAAUGAGUUACGUUGCUAAAAGGUAGAAGCAUGACAGUUGGAAGAUUCACUACAAGAAAAACUACCUACUAUGACAGUUGUAUACAUCUCAAAUAAAAAGGAGGAAACAAAAAACUGUCACAAAAGCUAAAAAUCAACGUUUUUGAUAGGAAAAGACGGAAUUUUUCGAAUUUUACUCGCGACAGAAAAUAACUAUCGUCGUAGACCAUUUUUGUUGGAGUGAUUGAUGAAAAAGGAAAGGCCAUUGUGGUUGAUCUACCUUUGAGCGUAGAGUCUAGGAAAGGUCAUUGUGCUUGGUCAGUGGUAAUACACGGGUUCAUUUCCACUAUUUUUCAUAUUUGUCGAUGCUCUCAAACUUCAAUUUGGCUUGUUUCUCUUUCGUUUCGACUCCGCCAAUCCGCUCUACCUCUUCAUUUCUCAAUACUUACAAAAUAGCAUAAUAAACACAAAAAAUCCAAUAACAACCCUCGAAUUAAGCUCAAGAAAUUAGUGCAUUUCAAGUGCUAACUUAACUAUCUACCCUAGAUAUCAACAUUAAUUUAGUACCAAACUCAAUACUAUGUUAUUUAUAUAAUUUUUUCAAAAAUAAAUACGAUGAGCUAGAUAUAUUUUUCUAAAAGUUCAAACGUUAAAACAUAUAUUUCGAAAAACUAUCUCUAAAGUUUUCAAAUUUUGAUGAAUAUAUGUGUUCGAUCUUUAAAUUUAAAAACGAUAUCUUUUUAGUUCUUUAAAUUUAUAAGAAUAAAUACAUUUAAUCUUUUAAUUUUGAAAUUGAAUCUUUUUAAUUCUUUAAAUUUAUAAGAAGAAAUUCGUUUAAUCUUUUAAUUUUCAAAUUGAAGUAUUUUUUUUGUUUGAUUUUUUAAUAUAGUAUUUCAAAUAUAUAUAAAAAAAUAGUUUUAUAGAAGAUGGGAGUUUUAGAAUUUAUUAUUCUAAUUUAAAAUGUUAUAUUAUUAUUUAAAAGUAAAAUUAUACGCGGAAUGUUAAAAACAGUAGGACUAAAAAUAUUUAUAUUGAAAUGCACACAUUGUUUUUAAUUUUCUUCUUAUAUUUUAAAUGUGAGGAGAUUAAAAUAGAAUAAAAUAUAAAAGUUAGAACAAUUAGAAAAAAUACAUUUAUAGGUAUUAGAAAAAAUACAUUUGUAUAGUUGGAGGAUAAAAAUUAAAUCUAAAAUUAUUUAAUUGAGAAAAGAUAUAUGUAUGAAAGAAAUAAAAAUAAAAAAAAUAAAAAAGAAGAGAAAGGAAGAGGCAAAGACAUGAGUCCGGCCACCGCUAAUUGGACCAAAGAAUCGGUGGAAGUAAACUCGUUUACGAUGAUGAUGGCGUAAUUGAAAGAAAUAUGAUCAAAAUCACAAUCAUAAACAACACCACCAACUCUCAUUCCUCAUAAGCAUAGAGAUAAACCUCUUUCUCUUUUUCUUCUCUUAAUCUCAAUUACCCACUUUCCUUCUUCUCAUGAUCUUCGAUCUUUUGCUCUGUGCUUGACGCCAUCGCCCCAAUAUCAACACAUUUUUUUUUUCUCUUUCUUCAACUCUUGGAACCCCCAACACUUGAUACAAACCCCCAUUCGCCUCUUUUUAGGUGUUUCCAGGUACUUAAUUCCUUUCUUGUUUAUUGGUUGCUUCGAUUUUUUUUUUUUUUUUAUUAUGGGGGUGAAUUGAUUUUUUCUUUAGGGAUACAUUUUGCUGAGGGGAAACUGGAUUCUGGGUCUAUCUCAGUUCUCCUUUUGAUUCUAUGGAACGUGUGGGAAAAUGUGGUGAAUUUUGUUUUGCUGGAAAAUUAACCCUUGUGUUGAUGUUGUUGUCUGAGUAGAGCUUUUGAUUUUCUUGCUUAUGGGACUUCCAUUAUGUCGAAAUUUGGGGGGGAGGGAGGGGGGGCUUUGGGGGUGGAAACAACGGCUUUAAAUUAUUGCAAACCUUUAAUCAUUGCUGUUGUUCCUUACAGAUUUUACUUGACCAUGCGGUAAUGGAGCUCCUCACCAGGAUGAUUAAGUUUAUAUGCACUUCAAAAUUUAAGCUCUUAGAAUCGUGGAGAUUCAAACUGUCUUGGACGAAGUUGGAAGAAUGCCUAUGAAUUUUUUUCCCUCUGAAUUAAAUAGGAAUGUGCAUAGAUGAAAAAGGCAUACUUGAAAGACUUUUACUAUAAAAAUAAAGAGUAACCUGGAGAAAAAAACAGAUGGAAGAAUUUUCUAAAUAUGCUCAUAGUCCCGCUCAUUUAGCAGUUGUACGUCGAGACUAUGUUGCUCUUAGAUUCAUUGUCUCCACGCUACCACGACUAGCCAAGGCAGGUGAGGUCAACACCGAAGCAGAAUCAAUUGCAGCAGAGCUACAAGCUGAUGCUUUGUCUGCUGUUAUUGAUCGACGUGAUGUUCCAGGACGUGAGACACCUCUCCACCUUGCAGUACGACUUUGCGACCCAAUUUCUGCAGAGAUUUUGAUGGCUGCUGGAGCAGAUUGGAGCCUUCAGAAUGAGUAUGGUUGGAGUGCUCUUCAGGAGGCAGUUUGCAGUAGAGAGGAUACAAUAGCUACGAUUAUUGCACGGUACUAUCAGCCUCUGGCUUGGGCAAAGUGGUGUCGUAGGCUUCCUCGCAUUGUUGCUUCAGCAGGUCGGAUACGUGAUUUUUAUAUGGAAAUGACAUUUCAUUUUGAGAGCUCUGUAAUUCCAUUUAUUGGACGAAUAGCUCCAUCUGAUACAUACCGGAUUUGGAAGCGUGGUCCCAACCUUCGUGCAGAUAUGACCCUAGCUGGUUUUGAUGGUUUUCGAAUACAACGAUCUGACCAGACAUUUCUCUUUCUUGGAGAAGGCUACUCAUCGGAUGAUAAAGUCCUUACUUUGCCACCUGGUUCUUUGAUCAUUCUUACCCACAAAGAGAAGGAAAUUACAAAUGCUCUGGAAGGAGCUGGUGCACAACCAACUGAUGCCGAAGUUGCUCACGAAGUGGAUUUAAUGUCAAGGACAAAUAUGUAUAGACCAGGCAUUGAUGUAACUCAGGCUGAGUUGCUUCCUCAUUUAAAUUGGCGACGUCAAGAAAGGACUGAGGUGGUUGGAAAUUGGAAAGCAAAAAUAUAUGACAUGCUUCAUGUAAUGGUGAGUGUGAAAUCAAGGCGGGUUCCUGGAGCUAUGACUGACGAAGAGCUAUUUGCUGCUGAUGAUGAAGAUAGAGUAGCCCGUGUUGGUGAACGUGAUGAAUACGACGAUAUAUUAACAGUUGAGGAGAGAAAGCAAUUGGAUUCAGCGCUUCAUAUGGAGAACUCAGAUACCCAUCUUGAAUAUGAGGAGCAAGGGGUUAUAGUUAGUCAGGAAAAUGCAUCCAUAGGUUCCUGUGAUAGUUUUGAGUCCAAUGGUGUUGCAAAGGAAAAGAAGAGCUGGUUUAGUUGGAACAAGAAAACUGCAAGGAGUAACAGUGAUGAGCCAGAUGAUUCAAAGGUCUUGAAGAAAUCUGCAAAGUCAGCCCCAGAAGGUAGCGAUCAUAAAGUAGUCGAGCCUCCAAAUUCUUCUGAUUUGUCUUUUGAAGAUACGAGGGAUAAUACCAAGAAGGGAAAAGAUAAAAGUAGUAAGAAAAAGAAGAAGAAAGGAGCCACUAGUGAAUCUAAAGGUGAGAGUGAGUACAAAAAGAGUUUGAGACCAGUCUUGUGGUUGACACAAGAUUUCCCAUUAAAAACUGACGAGCUCCUGCCUUUGCUUGACAUUCUUGCUAACAAGGUGAAGGCUAUUAGGAGAUUAAGGGAACUUCUAACUACCAAGUUGCCUCCUGGUACAUUUCCUGUGAAGGUAAGACCUAUAAACUAGGCACUUGUCUGAUUUACCCUAUGCUAAAUUGUUAUUAUGCUUUUCUUUGUCUUAGUUAACUCUGAAAUUGGUGCAUUUAUUUCUCUUCUUUAAUGAAAAGUUACAGCAGCUAAUUUUCAUAUACUGUUCAAUUCGAGUGAUUAUUAUUGGAUUUUUUUGCAAAGCCUUUCGUUUUUUUUUUUUUUUUUUGUUGUCUAUUAAUAUAAAAGCCCUUUCUAUUAUUGGCUUGUUGGGGCGUGUGCGGUGAUUUGGGAUGUUUGGGGGGAGAGCAAUGAUUGGGUGUUUCGUGGUAGGGCAAGGGAUCAUAGUGAGGUUUGGUCUUGAUUACGUUCAUGUCAAGGUCUUUGGCCUUUCAUUUUCUCUCAAUGAAAGUAGUUUUUAUCCCAAAAAAAAGUCUUGCUUCCUUUUCGCUUUCAGUGAAAUUGUUUUUUAUUAAAAAAUUUAAAAAGUACAAAAAUAAAAAAGCACUGAAAAUCACUUUGCAUGUUAUUCAUUUACUUUGAGAGAAUACGAAGUGGAUGCUUUUAUAGCAAAGAUAAAUAAAGCACUGUUCAUCAUUCUUUUAUUGGUUUUGCAUCACACUCAAUGUGCAGAACUUUAUGUCCAAUUAUUCGUUGGAAAGGAAUAAAAGAAUUUUCGGAUGUACAGUAUGAGAUUUGAAGAUGCUUGUUUUAGGAUCUGAUUCUUGUUUUAGGAUCUGAUUCUUAUUGUUGGUAAAAAAAUGUAAAUUAUUUAAACUUUGAUAUUCUUUUAGCACUUGUGAUCUUUUCACUAGCGAAGAGGAGGGAUAAGAGGGGCCACAUAAGUCUGAUAACUUGAUUUAGAAUUGUUGGAAAUUGAGGAUUAGAUGGUCUAGACUUUAUGUAUAAACUUGAUCCAAUGCAUAUGAUAAUAAAAUGACAAUUAUUUGGCAUACAGGUUGCCAUCCCUAUCGUCCCAACAAUUAGGGUUCUUGUUACUUUUACGAAGUUUGAAGAGCUUCAGCCAGUGGAAGAAUUUGCGACUCCUCCUUCGAGUCCAGAACAUUUUCAGGAUGCUAAAGUUAAGGAUUCAGAGGGAUCUUCAUCAUGGAUUCCGUGGAUGAGAGGAAGUCGUGGUGGGCAAUUAAGUGAUGGCGACAGUAAUAAGGAUGAAGUUGAUCCCUUCCACAUACCCCCAGACUAUAUUUGGGUCGAUGCUAAUGAGAAAAAACGGCGGAUGAAGGCAAAGAAAGCCAAGAGUAAAAAGCAUCGAAAGCACACGACUGCUAAAGGUGGAAGUACUGCACCUCAGGUGAGUGAAGCUAUGGAAGAAUAAUUACAUUACAUUGCAGAAUUCUGAUUUGAGUUUCUUAAGCAAUAUGAUGACACAAAUGCUGUUACAUGCAUCAGCAUCUGAUCAUAUUAAUUUCUUUUUCCUUCAAGUCAAUAUGUAGUGUAUGCUGAAAACUUAGGAUGUUUUACCAAUUUUUCUUGAUUAUGGGUGUUGCUGGCAUGUCUUUCUGCCUUUCAUCUCCUCUUUCUUUUGUAAAUGUGUACGCUUUGAUGUUUACUUAAAUAGGGUACCCUUCUGAAAUUGACUACUUUCUUUCCUGUACCAUUUGAUUUAUAACUUUUGAAAACCAUUGUUUUUUUCUCAGUUAAAUUGACACUUGAGCUUUUAGCUUGGCCUGUGUCGCUUUGGUUCCGGAGUAGGUUCAAAAUUGACGAAAACCAAACUGCUUAAAGGGUUAUUCGCAUAAGCUUGGUGGCUAUCUUUUCUAAGGAAAAGAAAGAAAACUUUGGGUUAAUGCCAUAAAAUCUUUGCUUGUAUAAUAUAUGAGUGUAAAGGAAUAUUGUUCUGAACAAGGAAUGGAAUUAGUGUUGAAACGAAGAUAAUGCCAAUGAUUUGGUAUAAUUCCUUUACCGAUCUAAAGUUGGUGUUUUCUCUAAAUGGAUGUCUUUAGACCAAGUAUUUGGGGCUAUUCAACUUUCAUCUUGCAACCAAGUUUUUGUCAUUGGUUCUGUUAGAAGACCAGUUUUUGUUUUAUUCUUCUAUUAACUUUACAAAUUCCUUUUCUUUGUGUUGUCUUGUAUUGAGAUUUAUGGUAACAUUGUAAGAGUUGAUACAUUGUAAUCGUUUGAACAAAUGUCCAAAUGAGAAGUGGGGAGAUUUAACUCUACUUUGUGAAUUCAACUAUGGUGGGCUAGAAAGGCCAAACAAGAAUCGCCAUUUGAAAUUUUUUUGUUUUUUUUUUCAUUCAAUAAAUAUGGGGUGGAACAUUGUACAACUGAUUUGAUCUUUAGGAAUGUACGUUUGUAACAGGUUCAUGAGCUACUCCCACCAUUUGAACUAAAAUUUUAUCUUCAAGUUUAUUUUUUCCUACAAUUGAGACCAUGUUGAAAAAGGAAAAGAAAAAACAAUUUUCUUGUAUAGCUCACUAACAAAGUAUGAUUUUUUCAACUUAUCUUCGCAUUGUAUUAUUAAUUCGCUCGCCUUCUAUUUCAACGGGAAAUUUGACACAUGACACUUUUUUUAUAUUUCAACUGUUUUCUAAUGUCAAUAAUGAAGAUGACAUCUUUUCUUAAGAUACAAUAAUGAAGAUGACAUCUUUUCUUAAGAUACAACCAAGUAUUACUAGGUAAUAAUAAGAGGUUGAAGAGGUCGUGUUCAACACCCACUUUAAGCUUUUUGGUCAUUUUGUUAUUUAACCAUCUGGUGUAAAAAAUAAUAAGAUAAAUGUUUCUUUAAUCAAAUACCUAUUUGGCACAAAAUUUAAAGAUUAAGCUUUUUCAAGUUCAAAAGGAUUAGUUAGACCUGAGACUAAAAUUUAGGGAUAAAACUAAUUGUCUAACCAUAUACUUUUCAUAAUUACAACUAUUUAUUUCCUUGACAAUGCGAAAAACAACAAUAUUUGGUCCGAAGUACGACAGCAAGUCAAACUCAACCCAUGAAGGAAAGAAGCAAUGCCAUCUAGAUUAUACAUAAAAUGAAGAGAGUGUGAAGACCAUAACCCAUUAAAGCCAAUCAUCUUAUACACAAUUAGUUGAGAGAGCUCCUAUAUGUCAGUUGGCCAUGACUUCCCAACUUAACAAAGGAAGAAGCCAACUGCAAGCAUUGUAAUACCCUCGUAUUCUCCCUGCUAUCAGAGAGCCAUCAAUGAACAUCUCUGCUCCGAGACGUCUAGCUAUAAAACUGUUGCAUCUGAUUUAGCCCGUUUUGCGUCCGGAGAAGAGUUGCCUUCAUCCGGUUCAACUUCUUCACCUUCAUGUCCUUUAUGCUUCCUACUUGCAGCAAGCAGACCAUCUUCUCGAGCGUCCUCGGCAUUCUCCGUGCUCAUACCAGCUGCAUCAUGACCUUGUUCUAAGUUUUUGGGUUGGUCAUCAGCACAAGGCAUAUUUUCUAGGAUUGACGAUGAGGUCUUCAGCUUGUUUUCCAUCUUUCUCUGUUGCUCGAACAUCUCCUGUAGAUACUUACCUUGUUCUUCAAUUCUUAACUGCAAAUUCCUUUGAAUCUGUAUAAAUUUACGGAAUAAUAUUCAGAGAACUGAAGUCAUAUUGAUAUAUGAAAUAAAGUUGAGACGUAGGACUAAAUGUGGAACAAAUGAUGCCUAUGUUUAAGAUUAGAAAUCUCUUUUCAUGAUCUUGGGGCUCUCUUCAAAUUAUUGUUCUCUUGUCAAUCAUCAAAGAAAUUAUGUUCUAAAUUCAUAAGCUUAAAAGGAGCGAAAUUGUCUCAAUUGCUAUAAUAUCUUUUCUGCUCAACAAUCAUCAAGAGAGAAUGAAUGUUCCAAUAGGUAUCAAUUAUCAUCAUUUUGUUUUUGAUAACGUUUCUGUUUUAAAAAAUUAUGGUUAUUUACCAACCUAUUUCCUGAUAUACUUCCAAACCACUUUUUACUAUUGACAGUUAACUAAGAGUCUAAAUACAUUUGACUAAGAUUUUAAAUAAAAGAAAGCAUCAAAAGCAAAAUAGUUAUGUUGCCUAUAUAAUCACUACAUCUUGUCUCCGUUUGUAUUUCCAAUAUCGGCUUCUGAAAGAGGGAGUUGAAGCAUAAAUGAGACAUACACAAUGAAGAGGCAAAAAAAGGAAAGAGGCAAAGGUCAGCAAAAUUAUCGGCCAUAUUAAGCUAGUGUGCGAGCCUACUGCGUCCAUAAUGCAUAAAAUUUAGCUUAGCUAGACUUUAUCGGGACUGAAAUGUAAAUGAACCUUAAAAAACAAACAAAACGCAGACCUCAAGUUGUUCGUGGAGCCGCUUCUGAACCUCCAUUUGCAAACGCAAAGCUUCAGUUAUCCCCAUACUCCUACAUUUUAGAUCAGUAAAUUGAACAAAAAAGUUCAGAUCAGAACUAAGACCGUUCCCCAAAAAUAAUAACCAAGGAUUUCAGUAUUUACAAACACAGUAACAUCCACUAAAGCUUGCAUAUUUACGAGGAGAAAAAAAACAGACAAACAAACAAAAAAAAAUUGGUAGCAUACAGUAUGUAAUCAUACGAUGUUAUAUUUUAACUUUCACAGUGAAAUUUCCAAUACAAUCUUGAAUUAACCCGUGAGUUUUUAUCAGCCAAUUCAGCUACAUCUAAAUUUUAACUCCGAACUUAUUGAUUUCAUUCUAAAUCCUAAUUUAAGAUAAAUAAAGAAAGUGCCACAGUUAACUUGCCCGAUACUAGUACUUUUAAGUUGGGUUCGGAUAUUUUAGUGAUAAGGUGAGGGCAUUUUUAAUUGCCUGAUUCACCACUUACUCAAAAGGUGAACUUGAUAAUUUACCCUAUUAUUCUGUGUUUUGAUUACAUCUAAGAAACAAGGAUCACGCGGAAACUAAUUAUAGACGCCUUUUCAGCCUAAUAGCAUCAGGAUGAGGGCUUUCACAAAUUGGUUUCACGGUAAUGAUCUGAAAAUAGUUACUUUAGGAUGCUUCCACUGGUUUAAGACUAGUUACUUUUUCUUCUAAUAUUUUACCGUCACUCUUCCAAGUAUUAUUCUUCAGAGAUAAUACGUUAAAGACAUGAUUAUGAAUUCCUUUCCUUUCUUUCGAACUUUUAUGAUAUUCCAAUACGUUCAAGGUUUCUGCCAAAAUUUUAUCAUUCCCAUUGAACUGAAAAAAAUUAUAUAUGUUCAAGAUUUAUCAAGUAAUGGUCAGUAACAUUGUUGAAUUAGUAUGGAAAGAGAGGGAUUUAAAAGAAAAAGUGAUAACUGCAGAUGAGAAAUGUUGUCUCGUCCCACAGAUAGACAACUAGUACUUUGGUCAAUGGUCAAUGUCUGAGAGAUUCUCACGUUAAAUUUGUACUUAGUGUCAACGAAAUGCAUCUUAGCACAUUAUAGUUCAAGUGAAAUUGUUCAACUAUUAAGCUACUUCAAAAGCACUAAUAUCAGAAAUAGCAUAUUUGAUACGAUCUUUUUCAUUAAAAUUUUGUUUUCGAAAACUAAACUCACAAACAUAUAGAUACCAAUGUUUACUUCGUUCAAUUUAAAACUAACAAAACAUUUAUGGUAGCUCAACUUCAAAAAGAAAAGGCUAAGUUCUUUUCUUUUUUUAUCUUUUUACUUAUUUUAUGAAAAACAGAGACGUAUAUUCACACAAAAUGACCAUAGUACAACCUGAGGGCAAAAGGUAGCUAAGAAAAAGCAAGUUUUUGAAGCUAUAUAUACAUAUACACACACACAUUCUUUCCAAAAUGUAGUUUCAAUCACACCCAUUUUGAACAUUGGAAAACAAAUAAAAAGAUAGGUGAAAAAGCAUGCUUCCUAAAAGUAGAAAAAGGAAAGGAAAAAAAAUCAAACACACUAAAUGUAAUUUAUGAUCAACUCCACCCUCCUACUGUAAAAGUAAAUAAGCAAAAAGAAAAUGCACCGAUACUCCACACACACAAAAACAAUCAAAAGGGGAAAAUACUACUUACGUUUUUAAGUCGAGAGUUUUCAUUUCCUCAAUAUGAUUUAUUUUUUUCCCUGAAGAUCCUGGACAGAGAAAAAAAUUAAUCAACCAUCUAUUAGACUGCUUUUCAUCAAAGGCCCUCAAACGAGAGGAUCAAAAGAAACUCAAAAGAGGCGCCACAUGUUCUUCAUAUGCUAAAAUCCAUUGCCACUUGAUGUAUGAGAUGAUCAAUGAACAUGCAUAUGAAACCAAUUUCUGUAAAACUACAAAGAACUACAGCUUGAUAUUGAUUGGUCAUUGAUGGUCAACAUGGAUUUAAGUACAACAAAGAUAUGACAACGCUGAUAAAGAAAUUAACAAUAACAAAAAGGAGAAAGGAAACAGUCACCACUACCUUCUGAUGACUCCGGUUUAUAUCUGGCGGUUCUAUAUUUCUGACAUUCGAAUGAUAAUAAAGCAAUACAUUAGAAAUAAGCAUGCUGGGUGAAAACCGUAUGAAAAUUGAAAAAUGCAGAGUACCUGUAAGUGGCUUUUCACAUGAUAAAUGGUGAGGCCUUCGACAUUCAUGAGCUUUAAGACACCCUUAGGAGUAGCAUCUGUCCAUUAAACUUUAAAGUCAAUUAUAGAGAAGUAUUUGUUGCUUUUAAGGCGUUCUUAAACAACAGUUCACAUGUAUCAAAGAGAGUAAUUUACUUUCACUGCCACCAAGUUUAUUGACCGCUUCUACAAAUGCCUCAUGAAGCUCUGGAGUCCAUCGCAUCCGAGGUCGGGUUGAUGUUGAGAGUGAAUUAGAAACAGAAUGAAACUCUACUGUAGGUAAAGAGUCAACUUGAUUCGUUUGGUUCGGUGGAGCAUUGAAAUUAGCUGAUGAAGAUUUUAAUACCUGUAAAAUUUACCCAAAAAGGAAAUAAAUCUCAAAAUUUAAAACUCAAACAGAAAUCUAGAGUACAGAAGAACUUCGGGAAAAAACCCUGAUGAUUCAAUGUCAUGUUUUCAACAAAAUAAGGAUUUAAAGAAGAUUGUAAAUGGGUAAAACAAAUAUCCUCGUCACUAACGCCACGUACUAACUGAAGAAAGGACACAUCUAUCGAACAAAUGUUUGCUGAUCUGAUAUGACAUGGUAGAAAAUUAACGAAAAAAAGUGGUAAGACAACAAAAUAGAGUGGCAUGGUAUAUAAAAAAGCUUGGAUAUAUUGCUUCAAAAAGAGGGGACUUUGAACAAUGCCACCUCAUUUUCCCAAGCUAUCACCUCCUUCUACCACUUAUCUACAAUAUCAUGUCUAUUUAGCCAAUUAUAUUUACAAGGACUACAUAGAAUUACAUUUGUAAACAUCCAACUGUAAUUUGAAGUUUAGAAAUAUAAUUGAAACUUUAUAAAGUUUAAGGUUAGUAUACACAAUCAUCAAAGUCUAACAUUCUAAAUUACAAGUUGUGCCUUGCAAUAUUCUGAUGCAUAUGAGAUUCCAUAAAUGUAACAUAUUCUUUAAAUACUCACAGCCAGUAAUUGUAUUAUGAAAGUACAUGUGCCACAAGCGCAAAUGUGGCAGUAUUGGCGAUAAUGCUAUAUUUGCAGCCAAGUAAACAAUAAGGGAUUGUUUGCAAGUUAUAAUAGCUAGAAACACCAACUAUUGUAAUUGGAGCUCAAGCUUGGAGUGAGUUAAACCCACCCACCAACUGCAAGUUGGUGACCUAAACACCCCUAAAACUUAGAGAAAAACAAUAUGGGUACUACAGAACUGGUUUUAAAAGUUUAAACAACAAAUAUAUGUCUUGUACACAACGCAAAUCACUUCAUGGUCAUCAGUCACCAAGCAUGCAUUAAAAACAAGUCCUGCACACAUCGUAUCAAAAAGUCCAAUCAUUCUAGCAUCCAUAACUUCAAAGGGUGUGGACUUUAACUAGAGGCCAAGCUUGCCAAAAAACACUUCAGGAGUUUUGAACUGAACUAUACAUCAGAUUUUCAUCUCAUAAGGCUCAGAUAAUCCUUUCUUUGUUUAAGAAUAUCCUCCCCUCUUCCAUUAAGUCCUAAAAAAUGACUAGAACCAGUUUAAUCACAAUUUCAUUCAUUUUGAAUCUAGAAUCUUCCAAGUCGUUUAGUUUACUUAUUGUCCCUUCCUUCCUUACUUUCCUUUUUUGUUUCUGUAACUUUCAUUACCUUCAGUUCUUCUUUCUUACUUUUGUUUUUUGUUUUUAAAUUCCCUUCCAUCUUUCCUUUUGAACUCCCAUACAUUUUAUAUGUAAGUUUUGACCUUUUUUCUGUUGAGUGAACAUGAGAAUUUUUGCGCAUAAAAAACGAUCUUAAUGUUUAAUGAACCAACCUCAGGUUUAGGAUCUCCUGCAUUAGCAUCAGAAAAAAUUUCACUCCAAUUUGGCUCCAAAGCAUCAUCAACAGAAAUAAAUUGAUCGGCCCAAUCGGGCCAAUCAUUCCUCUUCGCUUGGUCAUCCGACAUUAGGACACUGGCCACGUUUUGAUCUUGACCAUUCUGGUCAGGAAUGUUCUCAGAAAAAUCAAGUAAAUCCUGAAGUGUAUCUGUACUCCAAGAUGCACUGUUUUCAUUCAAGUUACCAGUCACCAUUGUGGAUUGUACUUCUGAAUGGGAAGAACCAUGAGAAGGCAACAACGACCCGUCAUUAGCAGACCGAGAAAUAAACGGAGAAAACUGGGCAUUUCUCUCUUGAGACAAAGGUUGCAUCAAUGGAAAAUCGUUUCGAAAUCCAGAGGAUGAUGAAAACAAAUGACCAACAGUGCCACUGUUAGAAACUAAUGGAGGGGCCUGUCUGGGGAUUGGAUGCCUCAUGGCUUCACUUUGUGAGGAGCCCUGAAAAGAAAGAGGCAAUUUGGGAUACUUGUCUUCAAAUGGCUUAGAAAGAACUGGAUAAGAUGAUGACAUAACUCCGUAAGCGACCCUCUUGUCACUCUGCAGUAGAGAAAAACAUAUAUCCAUGAAAAGUGAGAAAAAAAACACAACUCAGCUCAGUUACACAGAACUCCAUGACAAAAUCACGAUGGUAUAGAAAUCAUACAAUCAUUAAAAGCUCGUUCUAUAUCUCUACAAUUCAAUCCAAUUUGACAAACAACACAAAACCGAAUCCAGGAGGGUCUCAGUAGGGGUUAAAAACGGGGGGAACUGUUAGAAACACAAAGCAACAAAUAAAAUUUGAACCCAGAGUCGGAAAUUAAGAAAAGAAGAGUCCAAAAUCACAAAAUCAUAAAAGGGGAAAAACAGAAACACUUACCCCAGAGAUCAAAAGCAAGAUCAAAGAGUGAUGCAGGAACCGCAACAACGAAAUCCGAUGCGAGAGUUGGGCGAUGGGGGCAAAGCAAAGCAAAUUGCAAAGGUGGGUUCCGAUGCACUCGAUGGGUUUGAGGUUUUGACGUCAACGAAAUUACACAAAAACAUAGACACAAACACGAACUCCUCUCUGAGAGAGAAACGUACUGGGGUGUCUCUCUCUUACAUGAUGAUGAACAAAUUCACAAAUCCAAUUUCAACCCUCUGAUUGCUCAUGGGUGUUGAUUCAACACCGCUGAUUCCUCAUGCAAUUUCCCGAUGCACACAAAUGAUUGGGCAAAAGAAUUUUUUGAAAAAGAAAAUUGGCCUAUGCCAAUUGCGUAUUGCCUAUUGCAAAUUGCCACACUUCCAUUUGGCUUAUUGGAUAAUGAACGGCCAAUUCAUAGGAAAUGCUUCAACCCAAAACUCAACCAUCGAUCCAACCCAACCCAAUUAUUCCGGUUCGUUUAUCCAUUUUUUAAUUAUUUAUUGGCUUAAAUAUAAAUUUGAGUCAUUCAACUUUUUGUAAUUUCUCGAAGAAAGAAAACAAAAAAAUCCAAAUUGUGUUUAGUGGUUUUUUUUUCUUUAUUAGUUUUUAAAAAAAACUAGAAAUAGAGUAUAGAUAUAUUCACGGUUUGGUUUGGUUCACAUUUUGAUUUUUCAAAUAUUCACCUAAGAAUAAAAUUUUUAAAGAAUAUUUAUAACAGAUUUGGUAGCAAAUUUGAUUUUUUGUUUGUUUUAAAUUUUGGUUAAAACUUAUCAUUGAAAAAUUACAAAUAAAUUAUUUAUAAUACACGUUUGUAGAUUGAAAUUUUUUAUAUAUUUUAUUCCUUUCAAAUUUUUUUAUCUCUAAUAUUUUAUUUUAUUUUAUUUUUCGAAUUGUUAUUUGGUUCCAAAUAUACAAUGUCUUUUAAAAAAUAAUCAAAUUGUUAUUUUGUUGUUUAAACCAUCAUCCAAAUUUAAACACCAAGUAAUCUUUUAAAAAAUCGUUUAGAUUUAUAUUUAAUCGUUUAUAUUUGACUUCCCAAAUCCUAAACGAUCGUUUCCUAAUACUAAACUAAGGUUUUUUAAAUAUAUUGUGUGCCUCGAAUGACAAUUAAUCGAUGCAUUUUUGAAAUUUUCUAUUGUGGACUUUUUUCGUUUUCGAAAUUGUAUAUAUUUUGCCGUUGUGUUCUAUUUUUUAAAAGACCCCAUAAAUUAGGUUAAUUUUCAUAAAUAUAAUAAACUGGUAAAAUAUUUACCGUCCGUCUAAUAAAAUGAAAAACCAUAUGAAAUUGGUUAUUUUUUAAAAAUAUUCCAAGUUUGUCAUUCUUUUUUAUCGUCUUUUUUUCUCUUCCUCUACAAUUUUUUUAAAUAUUUUCGUUUGCCCGUUCUUUGCAUCUUCUUUUUUUUGUAAUUUUUCUUUUCCUUUUCAUCGUCUUUUUCUCUUCUUCUACAAUUUUUUAAUAUUUUUUCAAACGAUUAUUUGGUUGUUUAAAAUAGUGUGCCAAAUAUAAAAAAUAGUGGAAAAAAAAUCAUCGAGAUAUUAGAGGGCCAAAUCUAAACGAUAGUGUACCAAAAAUAUCUAAAUCUAAACUUGUGUUACAAAUAUAAGCAAUGAAAUAAUCGUGUACCAAAUAUAAACAAUCGUGUGCCAAAUCUAAAUAAUCUUAUAAAGAAAAUCUUGAAAAAAAUCGUUUAGAUUUGGCUACCAACGAUCGUGUGCUAAAUAUAAACCAUCUUGUGUCAAAUUUAAACAAAUGUGUAAAAAAAAAACCGUUUAGAUUUUGCUACCCAAAUUUAAACUAUUAAAUAUAAACGAUCGUCUACCAAAGAAAAAAUCCUGAAGAAAAAUCGUUUAAAUUUGGGUAGUCAAAUUCGAUCAAAUCUAAACGAACGUUGGAUACGACUCUCCCCCUUAUACUAUCUCAAUUAAGGCUUUUACUUUUCUUUUACUUCUCUUUUACUUCUUUUACAUUGCAAUUAUGCGAAGGUAUCAAUAAAAUAGAAACACUAUCCCUCCAAUACCAAGAAAAACCUAAAAGAUAAAUAAGAUUUCAAUCUGAUUUUCACUGAGAUUUCCAUAAACUAUAGGCACCCAUUUAUGAUAGGGUGAACCAAAUAGGAUACAACAAACUUCCCUAAAUUGUAAGUGAAGAUAUAACAUGAUAUACAAAAGAUUUAAGAAUUGAGGAAUCUAAAUAAAUCUGAGUAAAUUUUCAAAAGUCUAACACAACGCAUCUGUGAGACAAAUUAAACCACGCUUAAAAUUUUAACUUGGUUCUCCACAUAUCUCCUACCACUGCUCUCGGCUGUGGGUUAUCAGGUCCUCGGUCCCGCUGCCCUGAGGUGAAGUACAAGUAUCCAUCCCAAAAACCAGCUAGCGUCGUUUUUAUGCGGUAAGGGAGCUUUCCAAUUACUGACCAAGUCUGCAUUUGUCAGGGAACCAAAAACACAAGAUCAACACAAAUAUAAUGGUUGGUUUAAAGAAAGGGUUUUGUUCAAAGAUUAGAGAGAUAUGUUCAUACAAAUGAAUCCAAAUCAAAUCGGAAGACCUCCCCAACCAAGAUCAUUCGUUUGGUAAUUGGGUGUUUUUCUGUUGUACCGCCGGUGAUGAUAAUAGAAUUAUUGACAACAACCCAAGCAAACUCAAUAUGAGAAUCGGGCUUUGGCAUAGGGCUUAAUGUUUUCCAUUUCUUUUCAUUAUCCAGCAUGUAGACAUCACCAUAAACAACCUGAAAACAUGAAAAAGUAGAUUCAACAAAGGAUGGUUCGAGAGGAGUCAAAUAAAUCUCUUCUGUGGAUAGAUCGUUCUGAAGUUCCAAGACUCGAUAAUACUUCUUCUUGGUGUUCUCUUUCUGAGCUUUUUGUUUGAAUUGUGGGACAUUUAUCUUUCAGUUUAAGCCUUGCUUAUCUUGUAUUUUUUAUCUUUUAUGUUUUCUUUUCAAAUUUUUCGUUUCUUUUUUUUUUUUCUUUUUUUGUAUUUUGAGCCUUAGUCUCUUUUCAUUGUAUCAAUGAAAUGUUAUGUUUCGUCUUAGAAAAACAAAAAACAAACAAACAAAAACAAAACAAAGGAUGAACAAAACCUAUUGUGAUGCUAGGUGAACAAAGGGUGAACAUUGAAAGAAAUGUGAGGAAUAUCUGCCUUUCGGGAUAAUGUAAAAUAUGACCUACACAUGCAUUUAAUAUGAUGAGCCAGUUUAUCACUCUUGAGCUAACAUCGAAAAAUACCUCAUGCCUACGGGAGCACUUAAAAAUAGGCGAACCAGGUUUUGCCAUGAAGUCACCUUCUUGACCACCGAUAACAAAAAGCCGAUCAUCGACCACGAUACAGGCCCUGGAGAAUGUCAAGUUGAAAUAUUGGAUACACUACUUGAACUGUUUUCAAAUAUUUGGAUUGUCUAGAACAUCCUUAUUCCAUUCAUUAUGGAUUACAACUCUAAAUGACUAGUUAUGGAAUUUUAAUUAAAAAAAGAAUAGUGUCCAAGACCUGUGUGGUCCUCCACGAGGUAUGGGUACUUCAGUCCGCCACUUCUUCUCCAGUACUUUUCCAUCUUUUACAGCAAUGCUCCAGUGCUCCAAUCCAGGUGUGUGGCGAUUCUCCUUGCUGCCACCCAUCACAUGAAGUCUUCCUCUCCAUAAUUGUGUUGCUGGAGCAUAUCUGAAAACUGUUGUGUUAAAAAACCCUUUAACUAGAAAUGACAGAAAAUUUCUUUUCUAUCUUAAAGUUCCCGUUACAAAAAUAUUUUUGUACGUUCAGAUAAAGCUCUGAGAUCAAGAAUCAAUUGUGGUGGCAACUGAUAGUACAUAAACUCUUUCAUUUCAGGAUCUAGCAAAGUCCAGUUAUUUUGAUUUGCCAUCUCAAGUUGUUUUCAAUUAAUUCUACGAUUUCUACUCUUUCAAAUACGCAUUUAAACAAGCAAAAGGUUCAAUAGCAAUUUAUUAGAUACCCAACCUCCUAAAUAGUUAAUCAACUCUUUGCUCAUUUGUUUGCACUUAAUCUUUCUUCCUACAUUUAAGUUUACGAUCCUAGAUCGCCAAAAUCAACUUGUGAAGCCCAUCUUUACACAAUGAUAUGAUGUAUAAUCAAACUUUUAGGAAACAGAAACCUACAAAACAAGUCUUUAUAAUCAAUUUAUUUGCACGAACUAACACUUCAUGAUCCAAAUUGGAUAGGGACAGGCUUUUGAUUAGGAUGUGAUAAUUAGAUCACAUUGUGCAUAAAAGAUUUUUUUUUUUAUAUUUGUGAGUGCCCAGACCAGCUGACACGUAUCUCGACUAAUAUCACGGGACAACAUAAAAUAUGCAUAAAGAUACAAUCACAAAGCAAGGAACUAACCAAGAGAAACCACCAAACAAUUAAGCGGAUCAAACAGAAUACGGUUUCAGAAAACCUACGUGGACAACAAUAGUUGGCAAUAAAUGUUUUGCACGGUAAGAGCAUAUAACCUUUAUAGGAAUAACAAGACGGUUUACAU
This 24027-nucleotide long non-coding RNA is filed under the name Cucumis sativus (cucumber). RNAcentral describes it as "long non-coding RNA (CSAT_LNC000451)". Lineage: Eukaryota; Viridiplantae; Streptophyta; Magnoliopsida; Cucurbitales; Cucurbitaceae. The record is from RNAcentral.